UAGCAUAUCAAUAAGCGGAGGAAAAGAACCAACAGGGAUACCUCAGUAACGGCGAGUGAAGCGGUAAAAGCUCAAAUUUGAAAUCUGGCUCUUUUAGAGUCCGAGUUGUAAUUUGUAGAAGAUGCUUCGGGUGUGGUUCCGGUCUAAGUUCCUUGGAACAGGACGUCAUAGAGGGUGAGAAUCCCGUAUGUGACUGGAUACCUAUGCUCAUGUGAAGCUCUUUCGACGAGUCGAGUUGUUUGGGAAUGCAGCUCAAAAUGGGUGGUAUAUUUCAUCUAAAGCUAAAUAUUGGCCAGAGACCGAUAGCGCACAAGUAGAGUGAUCGAAAGAUGAAAAGCACUUUGGAAAGAGAGUUAAACAGUACGUGAAAUUGUUGAAAGGGAAGCGCUUGCAAUCAGACUUGCACUUGGUGUUCAUCGGGGUUUCUACCCCGUGUACUUCAUCAAGUUCAGGCCAGCAUCAGUUUGGGUGGUUAGAUAAAGGCUUAGAGAAUGUGGCCCUCUUCGGGGGGUGUUAUAGCUCUAGGUGCAAUGUAGCCUACCUGGACUGAGGACCGCGCUUCGGCUAGGAUGCUGGCGUAAUGGUUGUAAGCGACCCGUCUUGAAACACGGACCAAGGAGUGUACCUAAUAUGCGAGUGUUUGGGUGUUAAACCCAUACGCGUAAUGAAAGUGAACGGAGGUGAGAGCCCUUAAGGGUGCAUCAUCGACCGAUCCUGAUGUCUUCGGAUGGAUUUGAGUAAGAGCAUAUUGGGUGCGACCCGAAAGAUGGUGAUCUAUACGUGAAUAGGGUGAAGCCAGAGGAAACUCUGGUGGAGGCUCGCAGCGGUUCUGACGUGCAAAUCGAUCGUCAAAUUUGCGUAUAGGGGCGAAAGACUAAUCGAACCAUCUAGUAGCUGGUUCUGCGAG
This 907-nucleotide ribosomal RNA is filed under the name Monilinia fructicola. Its description in RNAcentral is "LSU rRNA". It matches the Rfam family "Eukaryotic large subunit ribosomal RNA", at positions 36 to 963 of the family's 3401-position model. Lineage: Eukaryota; Fungi; Ascomycota; Leotiomycetes; Helotiales; Sclerotiniaceae. The record is from RNAcentral.